Long non-coding RNA from Mauremys reevesii (Reeves's turtle), 937 nucleotides. RefSeq lists it as uncharacterized. The transcript has 7 exons. The record is from RefSeq and is a predicted model, not a curated record. NCBI's taxonomy places the organism in Eukaryota, Metazoa, Chordata, Testudines, Geoemydidae.
GUGGGAAGGACUAGCCACUUGAGAGCAAGGUACUGGGAAUGGAGUAGUGCUAUGGAAAGGCAAAGGGAGCUGGUGUGCUCCAGCCUGGUAAACCCCUAGGCUACAGGCCUUGGUGAAGGCCUACAAAAGGCAUCACUCAUUGCGGUAAGAGAAUUGUACUUCCAUGAAGAAUCCAUGUUGGGACAUUUCCACCAGUGUCCCAGACUAAUAGUGCAGAUACGCACCCUCUAGCAAAAGGUUCCAUUAAAGCAAUGGGGCAUCAUUAAGGAGGCUAGCAGCUACUGCAAAGCUAUUUUAAAGAUCCUGUUUACAGAUAGGUGAUGGAAUGCUCUUUCCCAAGAAGCGGACACUUGAUUCGCAGAAGACCAGUCUUGUCAGACCAAAAAACACAACCCUGAGAAAAUAUUCUUCUAAUGUAGCAUCCAAGCAAAUAAGCUAGUCUUCUUAUAGGAACUUCUUCCCAGCAUGCAUUUGUGGGCAGGAGAUGGACCUUGAAAUUUGGAAAAGACAUACCACUGCAGCUUUAAAGAGGCCAUUUGCAGCUAGUUGUUCCUUGUGUUAGUUCUCACGCUCACAGCCGGUGGGAAGAUGCAAAACCAGAGCAUAAGGCAACAUCUUCUUGUCCUUAGUGGUCACUUGAUGUGUCAGUGAUGAUUAUUUAUUGGAGCUCCUGAAAAGGAAGGAAAGCAAUCCAAUACCCAGAGAGAAGAAAGUGAGCCAGUCCCCAGCCAAAAGAAAAGUCAUGGACGGAUCUGCAGCCAGUGCUAAGCAGCACCAUUCCAUCGACGUACAUCGAUUUACACCAGCUGGCGAUCUGGACCACAGAUUUUUACACCAGAGUUCAUGUAAUUACACACCAUCAGCAAAGCACAGCAUUCAUAACUCAGAUCGCUAAAACAACGUGAAAAUAUUGAAGUUUAAUGAAAGAGAAAAUCAA